Molecule: ribosomal RNA, 497 nt
Filed under: uncultured bacterium
Lineage: Bacteria
Description: partial 16S ribosomal RNA
Rfam family: Bacterial small subunit ribosomal RNA
Source: RNAcentral
GAUGAACGCUGGCGGCGUGCCUAAUACAUGCAAGUCGAGCGAACAGACGAGGAGCUUGCUCCUCUGACGUUAGCGGCGGACGGGUGAGUAACACGUGGAUAACCUACCUAUAAGACUGGGAUAACUUCGGGAAACCGGAGCUAAUACCGGAUAAUAUAUUGAACCGCAUGGUUCAAUAGUGAAAGACGGUUUUGCUGUCUCUUAUAGAUGGAUCCGCGCUGCAUUAGCUAGUUGGUAAGGUAACGGCUUACCAAGGCAACGAUGCGUAGCCGACCUGAGAGGGUGGUCGGCCACACUGGAACGGAGACACGGUCCAGGCUCCUACGGUAGGCAGCAGUAGGGAAUCUUCCGCAAUGGGCGAAAGCCUGACGGAGCAACGCCGCGUGAGUGAUGAAGGUCUUCGGAUCGUAAAACUCUGUUAUUGGGGAAGAACAAAUGUGUAAGUAACUAUGCACGUCUUGACGGUACCUAAUCAGAAAGCCACGGCUAACUACGUG